Molecule: ribosomal RNA, 216 nt
Filed under: Glomeromycotina sp.
Lineage: Eukaryota; Fungi; Glomeromycota
Description: partial small subunit ribosomal RNA
Rfam family: Eukaryotic small subunit ribosomal RNA (bases 44-216)
Source: RNAcentral
GGGUCAGUAGGUUGGUCGUGCCACCGGUACGUACUGGUCUCACUGAUUCCUCCUUCCUGAAGAACCGUAAUGCCAUUAAUUUGGUGUUGCGGGGAAACAGGACCGUUACUUUGAAAAAAUUAGAGUGUUUAAAGCAAGCUAACGCUCGAAUACAUUAGCAUGGAAUAAUGAAAUAGGACGAUCGAUCCUAUUUUGUUGGUUUCUAGGAUUGACGUA